CCAUGGAAGCUGUGAGCGCCCGAAGUCCGUGCAGCAACCCGCAAGGGAGCAAGCGGCCGAAGGCGACGCGCAGUGACUGGGGCG
This 84-nucleotide ribosomal RNA is filed under the name uncultured bacterium. RNAcentral's name for it is "partial 16S ribosomal RNA". The record is from RNAcentral.